GCUUUUCUUUUUUUUAUAAUUUGUCAUUCAUGAAAUUGAGAUUUUAAAUCCAUUUGGUAAAUUGAAGCUGGAAAAGUCAACACUGUAAUAAUAACUGCUACUGUAUUAAUCAACCCUUUUUUUUUUUGGUGAGGGGGAAAGCAAUGGGAUUGACGAGCCUUUGGACAUCCCAUUAAGUUCCACCAUUCUUAGGGAAAGCUUCGGAGUCAGAUUCAAAUAAUUUGCUUACAUUCAAACUCAGCUCAG
This 246-nucleotide long non-coding RNA is filed under the name Durio zibethinus. RNAcentral's name for it is "long non-coding RNA (DZIB_LNC000129)". The record is from RNAcentral. Lineage: Eukaryota; Viridiplantae; Streptophyta; Magnoliopsida; Malvales; Malvaceae.